This 473-nucleotide RNase P RNA is filed under the name Novibacillus thermophilus. RNAcentral's name for it is "Bacterial RNase P class A". It matches the Rfam family "Bacterial RNase P class A". From Rfam's summary of the family: Ribonuclease P (RNase P) is a ubiquitous endoribonuclease, found in archaea, bacteria and eukarya as well as chloroplasts and mitochondria. Its best characterised activity is the generation of mature 5'-ends of tRNAs by cleaving the 5'-leader elements of precursor-tRNAs. Lineage: Bacteria; Bacillati; Bacillota; Bacilli; Caryophanales; Thermoactinomycetaceae. The record is from Rfam by way of RNAcentral.
GAAGUAAACCAGGUAAUCGCCGGCGGACAUCCGCAAGGAUCCGCGGGAGGAAAGUCCGAGCUCCACAGGGCAGGGUGCCGGUUAACAGCCGGUGGAGGCGACUCCAAGGAAAGUGCCACAGAAACAAACCGCUUGAGUAUUCACGCCAACGUGGAGACUCGAUCGUUAGCCGGAUGAGUUUCCGACAACCGAAUGCUUGUGAAUACUCAAGUAAGGGUGCAACGGUGCGGUAAGAGCGCACCAGCAGCAUGGAGACAUGCUGGCUAGGUAAACCCCACCUGGAGCAAGACCUAGUAGGGAAUCAGCGACUUCUCGAGUCGCAGCUGUGGCCCGCAGCGAUUCCGGGUAGGUCGCUUGAGCUUUGCAGCAAUGCAAAAGCCUAGAUAGAUGAUUACCACUCCACUUGCGGGAGCACGAAGGAAGUGCACGAGUACCGCUGGAGAACAGAACUCGGCUUACGGUUUACUUCCCGU